RNAcentral lists this unclassified non-coding RNA (25 nucleotides) under Mus musculus (house mouse). RNAcentral's name for it is "oocyte_clustered_small_RNA13112". The record is from RNAcentral. Lineage: Eukaryota; Metazoa; Chordata; Mammalia; Rodentia; Muridae.
UACUUUGAUGUCAGCUACUGGUUUG